ACGCACGCUGGCGGCGUGCUUAACACAUGCCAGUCGAACGGAAAGGCUCCAGCUUGCUGGCGUACUCGAGUGGCGAACGGGUGAGUAACACGUGGGUAAUCUGCCCUGCACUCUGGGAUAAGCCUGGGAAACUGGGUCUAAUACUGGAUAUGACCUUUCUCCUUAUGGGGUUUGGUGGAAAGUUUUUCGGUGUAGGAUGAGCCCGCGGCCUAUCAGCUUGUUGGUGGGGUGAUGGCCUACCAAGGCGACGACGGGUAGCCGGCCUGAGAGGGUGAUCGGCCACAUUGGGACUGAGAUACGGCCCAGACUCCUACGGGAGGCAGCAGUGGGGAAUAUUGCACAAUGGGCGGAAGCCUGAUGCAGCGACGCCGCGUGAGGGAUGACGGCCUUCGGGUUGUAAACCUCUUUCAGCAGGGACGAAGCGUAAGUGACGGUACCUGCAGAAGAAGCACCGGCUAACUAUGUG
RNAcentral lists this ribosomal RNA (466 nucleotides) under uncultured bacterium. RNAcentral describes it as "partial 16S ribosomal RNA". It matches the Rfam family "Bacterial small subunit ribosomal RNA", at positions 29 to 507 of the family's 1533-position model. The record is from RNAcentral.